This 441-nucleotide ribosomal RNA is filed under the name uncultured Neocallimastigomycetes. RNAcentral's name for it is "LSU rRNA". It matches the Rfam family "Eukaryotic large subunit ribosomal RNA", at positions 107 to 542 of the family's 3401-position model. Lineage: Eukaryota; Fungi; Neocallimastigomycota; Neocallimastigomycetes. The record is from RNAcentral.
GCUCAAAUUUGAAAUCUUCAAGGUUUUACCUUGACGAAUUGUAGUUUAAAGAAGUGUUUUCUGUUGAAGUUUUGGUAAAAGUUCUUUGGAAUAGGACAUCAUAGAGGGUGAGAAUCCCGUAUUUGACCAUUAUUUUCAGCUGUGUGAUACACUUUCAAAGAGUCGGAUUGUUUGGGAAUGCAGUCCAAAAUGGGUGGUAAAUUUCAUCUAAAGCUAAAUAUUGGCGAGAGACCGAUAGCGAACAAGUACCGUGAGGGAAAGAUGAAAAGAACUUUGAAAAGAGAGUUAAACAGUACGUGAAAUUGUCAAAAGGGAAGCGUUUGACACCAGUGUUGUUUUCUCGAAAAUCAAUUAAAAAGAGUUGGAUUUUGUGUUGUAUUGACCUUAACAGCUUUCUUCACUCUUUUCCUGCUUUUUUUAAUGCACUUUUCAGUUAACAAG